Molecule: ribosomal RNA, 432 nt
Filed under: uncultured bacterium
Lineage: Bacteria
Description: bacterial SSU rRNA
Rfam family: Bacterial small subunit ribosomal RNA
Source: RNAcentral
GAUGAACGCUGGCGGCGUGUCUAAGGCAUGCAAGUCGAACGAGAUCUUCGGAUCUAGUGGCAAACGGGAGAGUAACACAUUGGUAUCCACCCUCAAGUCGAGCAUAAUUCGGAGAAAUCCGGACUAAUACUCGAUAGUCUCUACGGAGUAAAGUUUUUCGCUUGAGGAGGAGCCUAUGUACCAUCAGCUUGUUGGUGAGGUAAAAGCUCACCAAGGCAACGACGGUUAGCGGGCGUGAGAGCGUGACCCGCCUCACUGGGACUGAGACACUGCCCAGACUCCUACGGGAGGCUGCAGUCAAGAAUCUUCCACAAUGGGCGAAAGCCUGAUGGAGCGACGCCGCGUGCAGGAGGAAGCCCUUCGGGGUGUAAACUGCUUUUAUCAAGGACGAAUUCGUGACGGUACUUGAUGAAUAAGGGGCUGCUAAACUCG